Molecule: ribosomal RNA, 274 nt
Filed under: uncultured bacterium
Lineage: Bacteria
Description: partial 16S ribosomal RNA
Rfam family: Bacterial small subunit ribosomal RNA
Source: RNAcentral
AUACGUAGGGCGCGAGCGUUGUUCGGAAUUACUGGGCGUAAAGCGCGUGUAGGUGGCCAGGUAAGUCAGGUGUGAAAGCCCUCGGCUCAACCGGGGAAGUGCACCUGAAACUGCCUGGCUAGAGGGCGGCAGAGGGAGGUGGAAUUCCUGGUGUAGAGGUGAAAUUCGUAGAUAUCAGGAGGAAUACCGGUGGCGAAGGUGGCCUCCUGGACCGUUCCUGACACUGAGACGCGAAAGCGUGGGGAGCAAACAGGAUUAGAAACCCUAGUAGUCC